RNAcentral lists this unclassified non-coding RNA (362 nucleotides) under Hevea brasiliensis (rubber tree). Lineage: Eukaryota; Viridiplantae; Streptophyta; Magnoliopsida; Malpighiales; Euphorbiaceae. The record is from RNAcentral.
AAAAAAAACCCUAAUUUGAUCUCUCUCUCUUCUCCCCUCCAAUUCACGGGAGAUAUGAACAUCAGCACUACCACCAGAGCAACAAUGGCUACUUACGAUCUAACACCGAGAAUCGCACCAAAUCUGGACAGACACCUGGUGUUCCCUCUCUUGGAGUUUCUCCAAGAAAGGCAGCUAUACCCUGAGGAGCAGAUCUUCAAGUCCAAAAUCGAGCUCUUGAACAAAACUAACAUGGUCGAUUAUGCCAUGGACAUCCACAAGAGCCUCUACCACACCGAAGACGUCCCUCAAGACAUGGUGGAGAGGAGAGCGGAGGUCGUUGCGAGAUUGAAGGCCCUUGAGGAGGCGGCGGCACCGCUUGU